Molecule: long non-coding RNA, 1437 nt
Organism: Pseudophryne corroboree (corroboree frog)
Lineage: Eukaryota; Metazoa; Chordata; Amphibia; Anura; Myobatrachidae
Exons: 3
Source: RefSeq, a predicted model, not a curated record
ACUGUGUACGCACAAUCACUGCUCAUCCAUCAGCCACGCUGCCCAGGUGCUGCUACUGCAGGUGCAGCCAUGCUUCCGGAUUCUGUAGAACAAGCUCACUGCCUCCCUCCUCCCUACCAUAAUUCUGGAAUACUGAAAAAGAAAAUUUGAGUUUGAAGAAAAAUGGAUCUGGUCUAAAAGCAACUCCGUCAUCCUCUGGUACAAAACAGCAACUGGCUUCCUGUGUGAUCAGCAAUGUGUUAUCUAGUUUGGGGGAGGGAACGUUCUCAUUCAUGAUGAGUCAGUAGUUGUUACGAUCCUGAUGCUCAGGACAGGGGAGAUCUUAUGCAGUGAGUCCAGAGCACCAGGACGUGAUGCUGGGAUAGGGAAAUGGAAUGGAAAUAGCCCCUAGCACCCUACCUCCGUUGUCUUACCCGUGUUGUCAAUUCACGCCUGAACGACUAUGGUUUCUUGGGCCCACGGCAGCCGCGUUUGAAGGGCGGAUUAGGUCUGCCCAACUCCGAUGCCCCCAGGUCUUAAAGAGAGACAAAGCGUGAACUGAGACAGGGUAAUAACAAGGGCACCUCUAACUGAAACAACCAAGCUAGGGGCUACUAACUACCUGAAAACUAAACGUAUGUGCGGCACACCGCCAAAGGAAAAGAACUACAAAGGAUACCACUGUCCACUCCCCCACACGGCAUCGCCGAGUUCCGGGGAGGACAGUGAAAGCGGAAACCUCCGCAAAAGCACCAACUCAAAGAAACACAAAUACUAAGCAGCCUAGGCCGCAACACGCGGCAGAAGCCGCUACUCACGAAACCGGGCGAGAACCCCAGAUGACAGUAACAGGUUCACAAGGACCAGAAGGAUUCCCAGGAACGGCUUCAGAACUUCAGAAUACAAGUGGGCAGGGAGCAGGAUCGACCAGAUGCAGCUGACCAGGAAUAAACUUCUACAAGGCAGGAACAGCAUACAGGAAGCUAUCACCGGCGUUUGUGUGAGACACUGAGGAGGCAUAUAACAGGGAACCCACCAAUGGCAGUACAGAGCCUAAUUGAUAAAUGUCGUGCAGCUGCCUUGCUGCACGACCAGGGGAGAACAGGUGAGUAAUCUUAUGGCAACGGGGAACGCGGUCCACCUGUGGCGUCCCCGUUGCCAUGGACCCGGCGGCCCUGCACGCACGGCAUCCUAGCGUUGCCAGGGACCCGGCGGCUAUCGUGCGCACGGCGUCCCGGCGUUGCUAGGCGCCGUGCGGAAGCAGGGAGAGAGAGAGGCGCGGCGGCCGUGAUCGCUGCUCUGUCAGGGCACGGCCGAACACCGCCGUGCCUAACACUAGUCUGUGUAUAUGAUAACCAGGUUCAGCCAAAUCAGACAUCAAAAGGGGCUGGCCUGAGCUUCCUGUCCACUACCUGUUUGGAAUAUCUAUUGUUCUAAUAAAAGUGAUUUUAGAUUUUA